GCAGCCAUCAUUUAAAGAAAGCGUAAUAGCUCACUGGUCGAGUCGGCCUGCGCGGAAGAUGUAACGGGGCUAAACCAUGCACCGAAGCUGCGGCAGCGAACGUAUCACUUAAAGCGAUUCAGCGGAUGACGAUUGACGGAGCGAAGCGACGUCAAAGCGUAUACAAAGUCGAGUCGGUUUAAGGAUACGUUCGUUGGGUAGGGGAGCGUUCUGUAAGCCUGUGAAGGUGGCCUGUGAGGGUUGCUGGAGGUAUCA
Molecule: ribosomal RNA, 255 nt
Filed under: Salmonella enterica
Lineage: Bacteria; Pseudomonadati; Pseudomonadota; Gammaproteobacteria; Enterobacterales; Enterobacteriaceae
Also listed under: 2 other names
Description: partial 23S ribosomal RNA
Rfam family: Bacterial large subunit ribosomal RNA
Source: RNAcentral